CCUACGGGGGGCAGCAGUGAGGAAUAUUGGUCAAUGGACGAGAGUCUGAACCAGCCAAGUAGCGUGAAGGAUGACUGUCCUAUGGGUUGUAAACUUCUUUUAUAUGGGCAUAAAAUGUUCCACGUGUGGGUUUUUGUAUUUACCAUAUGAAUAAGGAUCGGCUAACUCCGUGCCAUCAGCCGCGGUACUACGGAGGAUCCGAGCGUUAUCCGGAGUUAUUGGGUUUAAAGGGUGCGUAGGUGGUUUGUUAAGGUAGUUGUGAAAGUUGGCGGCUAAACCUUAAAAUUGCAGUUGAAACUGGCAGGCUGGAUGACAGUAGAGGUAGGCGGAAGGCGUGGUGUAGCGGUGAAAUGCUUAGAGAUCACGAAGAACUCCGAUUGCGAAGGCAGCUCACUGGACUGCAACUGACACUGAGGCUCGAAAGUGUGGGUAUCAAACAGGAUUAGAUACCCCGGUAGUC
This 460-nucleotide ribosomal RNA is filed under the name uncultured bacterium. Its description in RNAcentral is "partial 16S ribosomal RNA". It matches the Rfam family "Bacterial small subunit ribosomal RNA", at positions 338 to 795 of the family's 1533-position model. The record is from RNAcentral.